CCUACGGGGGGCUGCAGUGGGGAAUAUUGGACAAUGGGGGCAACCCUGAUCCAGCCAUGCCGCGUGUGUGAAGAAGGCCCUCGGGUUGUAAAGCACUUUCAGUGAGGAAGAACGCCUGGUGGUUAAUACCCAUCAGGAAAGACAUCACUCACAGAAGAAGCACCGGCUAACUCCGUGCCAGCAGCCGCGGUAAUACGGAGGGUGCGAGCGUUAAUCGGAAUUACUGGGCGUAAAGCGCGCGUAGGUGGCUUGAUAAGCCGGUUGUGAAAGCCCCGGGCUCAACCUGGGAACGGCAUCCGGAACUGUCAAGCUAGGGUGCAGGAGAGGAAGGUAGAAUUCCCGGGGUAGCGGUGAAAGGCGUAGAGAUCGGGAGGAAUACCAGUGGCGAAGGCGGCCUCCUGGACUGACACUGACACUGAGGUGCGAAAGCGUGGGUAGCAAACAGGAUUAGAUACCCUGGUAGUC
Molecule: ribosomal RNA, 465 nt
Filed under: Vreelandella stevensii
Lineage: Bacteria; Pseudomonadati; Pseudomonadota; Gammaproteobacteria; Oceanospirillales; Halomonadaceae
Description: partial 16S ribosomal RNA
Rfam family: Bacterial small subunit ribosomal RNA
Source: RNAcentral